GUGAACAAUUUUUAACGGCCGCGGUAUCCUAACCGUGCAAAGGUAGCGCAAUCACUUGUCCUUUAAUUGAAGACCUGUAUGAAUGGCAUAACGAAAGCUUAACUGUCUCCUUUUUACAGUCAAUGAAAUUGAUCUAUUCGUGCAGAAGCGAAUAUAAUAACAUAAGACGAGAAGACCCUGUGGAGCUUUAGACACAACAACAGCCCAUGUUAAACAUUCCUACAAGACAUAAACUAAGUGGGACCUGCUGAAUGUCUUCGGUUGGGGCGACCAUGAGGUAAAAAACAACCCCCAAGAGGAAUAGGAACACCUUCUCCUAAAAACAAGAAACACCACUCUAAUUAACAGAAAUUCUGACCAAAUGAUCCGGACACACCGAUCAACGAACCAAGUUACCCCAGGGAUAACAGCGCAAUCCCCUUUCAGAGCCCAUAUCGACAAGGGGGUUUACGACCUCGAUGUUGGAUCAGGACCCCCCAAUGGUGUAACCGCUAUUAAAGGUUCGUUUGUUCAACGAUUAAAGUCCUACGUGAUC
This 535-nucleotide ribosomal RNA is filed under the name Ophichthys fossorius (Malbar swampeel). RNAcentral describes it as "partial 16S ribosomal RNA". It matches the Rfam family "Bacterial large subunit ribosomal RNA", at positions 1913 to 2605 of the family's 2925-position model. Lineage: Eukaryota; Metazoa; Chordata; Actinopteri; Synbranchiformes; Synbranchidae. The record is from RNAcentral.